GGGGUGGUUUGGGAGCAGCAGGGCUUUGUGAUAACCCCAAAGACCCCUCCUCUUUCCACCCCCUGCUGCCUCCUCCCUUCCCGCGGGUGUUCCGCAUUAUGGAGCAAGCCAAGAGGAAGUCCACCAGACGGCUCCGGAGGAUGUCUUCCUGAGCCUCACCUGCCCGAGGCCCCCCACCCGAAGGGAAAGCAGACAAGGACAAGCAAAACCAGCAGGCUCCCGGCCCCCCUCUCCUCCUUCGGCUCCAUUUCCCUCCCAGCCCUCCUCCCAGCCUCCCACCCCACCCCGCUCUGGGCCUCCCUCCCAGCAUCCCUCACGGCUCCCCUCAAAGUCUGCCUUGCUGUAAGAAAGAGCUGUGGUGCCAGGUUAGCACAGGUGCGCACAGCCUGCCCUGGGCUGCAGGGGGUACGGGGCUGGAGGGGUGGGUGUGGCUCUCUGCAGAUUGAGGCCACUCACCUUCGAGACCUGCCGGAGAACCCCCGUGUGUUUCUGUGGAGAAGGGUCCCCUGGAGUCCCGCCUGGGUGGCCCGUGGUCUCAUUGAGCCCUGGCCAUGGAAGCAGCCUCAGAGGAACACCUGCCAUGUCCUGUCAAGGAGAAGCCCUGUGGGUGACCGAAGCGGUGAUGAAGCUGUACUUAUGAAGGUGCUUGGAGGCUGCGCAGGUGUGAGAACGCUGAACUAAGGCCUGUGAGCUUGGACCGUCCGGCCUAGGUGGACGGGUGCAGCCGGGCGCCUUUGUCCACUGAGAAGCAGCCUAUCAGAUAGCCUUUCUCUCUCUAGAGUGGACACACCAGCCGCUCUAAAAAGCCCCUUUGACCCCUGCUUUGCAGGUUCCAGGAAGGCCACAACGACCGUCCCUGCCCCCACGCCCUGCCUCCGCUCACAGCAGCGCAGCAUCACGGUGUGGUCGUGUCCCUGGCUGCCACACCCACUCCAUCUGUUUUCCGUGUGGCUGCUCUGAGGCAUCUGCCAGCGUCCUCUGCCCCCCGCUCCCCACCCACUGAGCCUGGUUCUCCCUGUCCCCCGGGACCCUGGUCUGCCUCUUCCAAAGGCUCCUCUUCCUUCUCCCUGCCUGGUGGGUCCCUCAGCCCCAAGCCCGCCUCUCUCCCUCACUCUCCCCUCUGCACCUGCCACCCUUGGGNNNNNNNNNNNNNNNNNNNNNNNNNNNNNNNNNNNNNNNNNNNNNNNNNNNNNNNNNNNNNCCCCCCCCCCCCCCGGCUUUCAACUGGCAUCUUAUUCCAGCCAGGAACUGCCCUGAGCUCCCAACAAUCUAGACUUUUCCAAUGAGUUCUCUCACCCUCCUGAAGCCCAAAGGGAAAUGGGAUCUUCUCCCACCCUCUGGACACAGCUCGUCAGCCCACCAGCUCUGGGGGCUCUUACUGCCAGGGUGGUAGGCAAGGGAAGGCAUGGCUGCAGCAUUGUCAAGAGAAGAACACCUAUUUCCUGAAAAAUAGAAAACUUUGGGAGUUCCCGUCAUGCUUUAGCAGAAACAAAUCUCACUAGUAUCCAUGAGGAUGCAGGUUCGAUCCGUGGCCUGGCUCAGUGGGUUAAGAAUCCUGCAAUGCUGUGGCUGUGGUGUAGGCGGCAGACACAGCUCGGAUCCCUGCAUUGCUGUGGCUGUGGUGUAGGCCGGUGACUACAGCUCCGAUUGGAGCUCCAAUUCGACGCCUAGCCUGGGAACCUCCAUAGGAUGGGUGUGGCCCUAAAAAAAAAAAGAAAACUUUGUAAAUAAAUACAAGUGAUAAAGACAUGUAGGCCAGGGAGUUCCCGUCGUGGUGCAGUGGUUAACGAAUCUGACCAGGAACCAUGAGGUUGCGGGUUCGAUCCCUGCGCUUUCUCAGUGGGUUAACGAUCCGGCGUUGCUGUGAGCUGUGGUGUAGGUUGCAGACGCGGCUCGGAUCCCGCGUUGCUGUGGCUCUGGCGUAGGCUGGUGGCUACAGCUCCGAUUGGACCCGUAGCCUGGGAACCUCCACAUACCGCGGGAGCAGCCCAAGUAAAAUGGCAAAAAGACAAAAAAAAAAAAAAAAAAAAAAAAAAAAAAAAAAAAAAAGACAUGUAGGCCAACCGAGGGACUUGGAGCCACGAGGACUCCACAGACGCAGCAGGGCAGCGGAGUGAGAGCAGUGACUGGCUCUUUGCUCCCUGGCUGGGGAGACCAGCUUUAGUCCCUGCACAGUGCUGAACGAGUGCACCUCUGCCCUGGGGAGACCAGUAACAAAGUAAGAGGGUACGGUGGGACACAAAGUACCAAACUGGGAAACAGUAACCAGUGGCAACAGAGACAGCUAAAAACCUCAGGGGUCCUGUGGAGUUUCCUGUCCUCUGGCCUCUGGGGAGCAGGCCCCAAGUUUGCUCUGCUCUACCAGCUGGUCUUACACCGCCCCUGCCCCUUCCACCCCCAGCUCCCAGGGCCUCAUAUCUCACUUGUGAUCACGGCAGACAUCUCCAUCUCCUGCUCCAGACUGGCAUGGAGCCUUGACAACACGGAGGCUCCUCUGUGUGUGCCCAGCUGCUGAGCACAGACCAACUACCCUGAAGGGGUUCCAUGAGCCUAAGGGGUGGAGGGACAGGGCUGUGGCGAAGAGGGGAUGAGAGCAUUGACCCGGAUUCCCCAGCUUUUCUAGGAAGAGCCACUUUCAAACACUGCUCCCAGGAGACUGCAUUUCUUUCCUGGUCAGAAUGUCUCAUGAAAGAGGUGGGAUGUGAGCUGGUUCCUGAAAGACUGGGUGGGUGGACACUGCCUAAUACCUGAGUGAACGGACAGCUCAGCUGUGGCUGCGGCAGCCAGCAAGGCACUGUAAGCGUGCACGUCUGUUUUAGGAAGGUCUCCCAGGUGACUCCAGGAGACACUGGGGACUGACAGGGGUCAGUGUAUCUAGUCCGAGCGAGAAGGUGAGCGCUCCCCUGGGAUGGAGGAGGGGUCCAGGGUGAGCCACACUUCAAGGGAAGAAAGAGGCAAACGUGCUGGCUUGAGUCAAUGAAGAUUUCGAG
Molecule: long non-coding RNA, 2990 nt
Filed under: Sus scrofa (pig)
Lineage: Eukaryota; Metazoa; Chordata; Mammalia; Artiodactyla; Suidae
Description: lncRNA (ENSSSCG00045015726.1)
Source: RNAcentral